UGCUUUACACAUGCAAGUCGUACGGGAGUUUUUAACUCUAGUGGCGGACGGGUGAGUAACACGUAAGAAUUUGCCUUUAGGAGGGGGAUAACAUCGUCAGAAAUGAUUCGAGAAAUUGAUGCUAAUACCCCAUAUGCUUUCGAGUGAAAUGGAGUUUUCCGCCUAAAGAGAAGCUUGCGGCUGAUUAGCUUGUUGGUGAGGUAAUGGCUUACCAAGGCGACGAUCAGUAUCUGGUUUGAGAGGAUGAUCAGACACACUGGAACUGAGACACGGUCCAGACUCCUACGGGAGGCAGCAGUGGGGAAUUUUCCGCAAUGGGCGAAAGCCUGACGGAGCAAUCUCGCGUGAGGGAUGACUGCCUAUGGGUUGUAAACCUCUUUUUUCAGGGAGGAAUAAAUGACGUUACCUGAAGAAUAAGCAUCGG
This 424-nucleotide ribosomal RNA is filed under the name uncultured bacterium. RNAcentral's name for it is "bacterial SSU rRNA". It matches the Rfam family "Bacterial small subunit ribosomal RNA", at positions 45 to 496 of the family's 1533-position model. The record is from RNAcentral.